RNAcentral lists this long non-coding RNA (1083 nucleotides) under Androctonus crassicauda. Lineage: Eukaryota; Metazoa; Arthropoda; Arachnida; Scorpiones; Buthidae. The record is from RNAcentral.
AGAAAAAAAUGAAAUGAAGUGAAUGAAUACCAUCCAUUAUUUUAUAACUGAUUCCAUUGUGGGAUUGGUAGGGUUAGUGGAGUGAAUAGCUUUUAUUUUCAGUUGUAAGAAUCCAGAAUUGUAUUUGGUUCCAUUUUGAAAUAUAUAAAGGGGAUCUGCAAUGUAAAAUAUGAAAGAUAUUUGUACUGAUUAUAUUCCUCAAUGUUUAAAAGGUAUCUUUACUUUUACAGUUUUUAAAAUAAUUUGCUUGAUAUAAAUUUCUCAUAAAAUCAGGAUUAAGCUUGUAAAUUAAAUUUUUGAUGAUAAAAUCAUGGUCUCAUAAACAGCCAAUGAUUGGGAAAUAGCAUUAAAAAAAACUGGUUUUUUUGUUAGAAAUUUGGUUAAGUUUGGAUUAAGCAUCUAAAUCAUUUUGGAUAUGUAUGACAGCAAUUACUUUUAGUCUCUAUGCCCAUGAUAGGAUUACUCAGAAAAUUGAAGGAUGGGCUUUUAAUAAGUGUCAGACUCCUCCUGAAAACUGGAUGUAUGUGAUUUAUUUUUUCUAUAGUGAAUAGUCAUGGAGAAAAUUCAGGACCUUUCUAUAGAGAGGUUGUGCUAAACAAGCACUGCUUACACUAUAAUUAAUUAUUAUACACACAGUGAACAGUUUGUAUGAUGGUCCAACAUCAAACACAAUGAACAACAAUUGGUAUGAAGAAGUAAAUUCAUAAUAGCUUUCCUUGAAAAUCCUAAAUGUUUCUUCAUCCUUUAGCACAUAUCCAGAUGGCUAGGUAACAAACACAAUGGCUUUCCAGGUAAUUUAUUAAAAUUGUUCUAUUAAAGAGUUGAAUUAAAAAAUUAUAUUAUGAACAGAAUCAGAUUUACUCAAAUAAUAGUUGCAAUUCUAAAGAUUGUAAUAAACAUUGCUUUACUAAGUUGCUGUCUGGCUGAUGCUGGGAAUUUGGAUAUACAAAAAUCACUUAAAUAUUCCAUUUUUACUUUUAUGCAAUAUUUUCUUUAUUUUUACUUAUAUGAAGUUAUGGUAAGCAUGAGAAGCACAUUUUUCUCAUUUUAAAGAAUAAACAGUAUUUAUUCAAUACAAUCCUA